CAAGUUCAACAAAGAUCAUAUUAAUAUGUCAACAGUAUCUUUUUCCGGGUAUCAAGAGUGACUGGUGUAUUAAUAGUGUUUUUGAUGAUCUAUUUAACUUAUGGUAGAAACUCAGAUGCAGUUCAGGUGAAGUUGAUAGCUGAGUUCUCCGUUAACUUCAAUAUUGUGUUUCACAUACCUAACUUUGCAAGUCUAUUUACCCAUUUUGGGAUUGAUUUGCCAGUAAGCUUGUAGCACAUGUCCUUGCAGAAGUGGUUGCAGUUCUUAAGAAUUAAAUGAUAUGUGUCGCCGUUGUAGCUUGCGGCUUGGCGUUCCAUGAACUCCCUAAC
Molecule: non-coding RNA, 329 nt
Organism: Arachis ipaensis
Lineage: Eukaryota; Viridiplantae; Streptophyta; Magnoliopsida; Fabales; Fabaceae
Source: RefSeq, a predicted model, not a curated record